This 72-nucleotide transfer RNA is filed under the name Sus scrofa (pig). It matches the Rfam family "tRNA". Rfam says of the family: Transfer RNA (tRNA) molecules are approximately 80 nucleotides in length. Their secondary structure includes four short double-helical elements and three loops (D, anti-codon, and T loops). The record is from Rfam by way of RNAcentral. Lineage: Eukaryota; Metazoa; Chordata; Mammalia; Artiodactyla; Suidae.
UCCCUGGUGGUCUAAUGGUUAUGAUUCAGUGCUUCUACCACUGCAGCACAGGUUCAAUCCCUGGUCUGGGAA